RNAcentral lists this unclassified non-coding RNA (1701 nucleotides) under Hevea brasiliensis (rubber tree). Lineage: Eukaryota; Viridiplantae; Streptophyta; Magnoliopsida; Malpighiales; Euphorbiaceae. The record is from RNAcentral.
AAAAAGCAAAUGGGGUGCGCCUCCACUAUGACUAUCAUUAUUCUCUCUUGAAAAAAGAAAUUUUCAUUAAUUUUUCUUUAAUUCAGGGAUAUUUUUCAGCUAUGGAGUUAGGUGACAACAAGAUUUUGAAUGUGGGGUUGCUUUUAGUUGCAACCCUUUUGGUAGCAAAGCUCAUAUCUGCACUAAUUAUGCCCAGAUCUAAGAAACGUUUGCCUCCAGUGGUUAAGGCAUGGCCUAUUGUUGGUGGGUUGAUCCGUUUUCUUAAAGGGCCAGUUGUGAUGCUUAGACAGGAGUAUCCAAAGCUUGGGAGUGUGUUUACUCUGAAUUUGUUGAACAAGAACAUCACAUUCUUCAUUGGUCCAGAAGUUUCUGCACAUUUUUUCAAAGCCCCAGAAACAGAUCUUAGCCAACAAGAGGUUUAUCAGUUCAAUGUGCCUACCUUUGGACCUGGUGUGGUUUUUGAUGUUGAUUAUACAAUUAGGCAGGAACAGUUCAGGUUCUUUACUGAAGCUCUCAGAGUCACUAAGUUGAAGGGCUAUGUAGAUCAGAUGGUUACAGAAGCUGAGGAAUACUUCUCGAAAUGGGGUGAGAGUGGUGAAGUAGACCUAAAAUAUGAACUGGAGCAUCUUAUCAUAUUGACAGCUAGUAGAUGUCUGUUGGGAGAAGAGGUCCGCAAUAAACUCUUUGAUGAUGUGUCUGCUCUCUUCCAUGACCUGGACAAUGGGAUGCUCCCUAUCAGUGUUAUCUUUCCCUACCUUCCAAUUCCAGCCCAUCGCCGACGUGACAAUGCCAGGAAGAAGCUAGCAGAGAUCUUUGCAAACAUCAUAAAUUCUCGAAAACGUACAGGCAAGGCAGAGAAUGAUAUGUUACAAUGCUUCAUUGACUCAAAGUACAAAGAUGGACGGCCAACAACAGAGGGUGAGAUCACAGGUCUUCUGAUUGCUGCUCUUUUCGCUGGGCAGCACACCAGUUCGAUCACUUCCACUUGGACAGGGUCAUACCUCCUCACCAACGACAAGUACAUGUCGGCUGUUGUAGAUGAACAGAAGAAUCUGAUGAAGAAACACGGGAAUAAGGUUGAUCACGAUAUCCUUUCCGAGAUGGAAGUCCUCUACAGAUGCAUAAAGGAAGCCCUCAGACUCCAUCCUCCACUGAUAAUGCUUCUGCGUAGUUCACAUAGCGAAUUCAGUGUUACAACCAGAGAAGGAAAAGAGUAUGACAUUCCCAAGGGACAUAUCGUUGCAACCUCACCUGCUUUUGCAAACAGGCUGCCACAUAUCUUCAAGAAUCCAGAUACUUACGACCCUGAUAGGUUCGGCCCUGGUAGAGAAGAAGAUAAGGCUGCAGGAGCAUUCUCAUAUAUUUCUUUUGGUGGAGGCAGACAUGGUUGUCUUGGAGAACCAUUUGCUUAUCUGCAGAUUAAAGCAAUAUGGAGUCACUUGCUGAGAAAUUUCGAGUUUGAACUGAUCUCGCCUUUCCCUGAAAUUGACUGGAACGCUAUGGUUGUCGGUGUCAAAGGGGAAGUAAUGGUGAAGUACAAGCGCCGAAAGCUCUCUGUUGAAUAAGCAGAUAACAUCUGCAUGAAUGUGGUAGUUUAAGAUCAUUUAUGUUGGUUUGUUAAACCUUAUUUCUUGUUUAAUGUUGACUUCUAUGUUUAAUGUUAGUCCUGUUUCUCUUGAAGAUUGCAAUGACUAAGAUUAU